RNAcentral lists this transfer RNA (100 nucleotides) under Hypoxylon crocopeplum. RNAcentral's name for it is "tRNA-Arg". It matches the Rfam family "tRNA". Rfam says of the family: Transfer RNA (tRNA) molecules are approximately 80 nucleotides in length. Their secondary structure includes four short double-helical elements and three loops (D, anti-codon, and T loops). Further hydrogen bonds mediate the characteristic L-shaped molecular structure. tRNAs have two regions of fundamental functional importance: the anti-codon, which is responsible for specific mRNA codon recognition, and the 3' end, to which the tRNAs corresponding amino acid is attached (by aminoacyl-tRNA synthetases). tRNAs cope with the degeneracy of the genetic code in two manners: having more than one tRNA (with a specific anti-codon) for a particular amino acid; and 'wobble' base-pairing, i.e. permitting non-standard base-pairing at the 3rd anti-codon position. The record is from RNAcentral. Lineage: Eukaryota; Fungi; Ascomycota; Sordariomycetes; Xylariales; Hypoxylaceae.
GGCCGCUUGGCCCAAUGGUAAGGCGUCUGACUACGACCGAGCAUGCAAACACGUUCGAUAGUUUAUCAGGAGAUUCUGGGUUCGAGCCCCAGGGUGGUCA